UUCGUGAAGACUGGAUUUCCUCAGUGACUUACAGUGGAAACAGAGACAGGAGGUCAUGAAAAUUAGUUGCUAGCCUCCCACUAGCCUGAGAGGAGUGGGCUACACUCCAGGGCAUUGGACAAAUAACUGAACAUCACUUAACCAUUUCAAACUAAGGCAAAAUGCACUGGAACGCCUGCCCGAUUCCGCACUUCACACCCCUUCCUCUGGAGUAUCUUCAGGAUUCCAGCCUGAGUCCCUGACCUCUGAGCCUCACCCACAGAACACUCUCCUCAGAGGUCCCCUAGGACAAAGGCCAUGCCACCUUCUGGUUGCAGUGACUGGGGGACGCUGCUUGGUUUCCUGGCAACUACUGCUCUGUUUUUUACCUGUGGCUCCAGAGGAAGUCAGAAACCUGUCCAGCCCAGAUCUCCGUGAACGCCUCUGCUGCAGCUCACCUAACCCAGCCAGGGACCAGGAGCCCAUGGAAAGCAAUGAUGAGUACUGAGGAAAGAUGUAGGGAUGAGGACUCCUCUGCUGUCUAUUUAGAGGUGAAGAAAGAACAGCCCACAGCAGCCUCAGCUGAGCAGCAGUAAAAGGAACCUGUAGUUGGAGCUCUUCUUAAGAAGUCUGAAAAUCAGGAGUUCCCAUCGUGGCACGCGGAAACAAAUCCGACUAGGAACCAUGAGGUUGAGGGUUCGAUCCCUGGCCUUGCUCAGGGGGUUGGGGAUCCAGCGUUGCUGUGAGCUGUGGUGUAGGUCACAGACAUGGCUUGGAUCUGGCAUUGCUGUGGCUGUGGGGUAGGCUGACAGUUGUAGCUCCGAUUAGACCCCUAGCCUGGGACCCCGCAUAUGCUGCAGGUGCGGCCCUAAAAAGACAAAAAAAAAAAAGUCUGAAAAUCAGAUAAUAACAGAUCUUCAGACUUGGUAAUGGUAUUUAUUCUGGAGCUGAAUCUCAGCUUCUGCUUUCAAAUGGUGCAUUUGCUCCCCAAUUAACCACAGUAUCUGCCGCUUGGUAUUGUUUCCUUGAAUCUGAGCCAAGUGACAGCUGCCAUUUAGUCCCUCAAACAUCCAAUUAUUUACUCACAAUAGACUUAAGAAAAGAGUGCCUCUUUUACCCAUGUCUCUGGCAAAAGUAGGAAAAUAAAAGACAGAAAAAGAAGAGUCUGUGGUUUCAAGAAGAGAUCAUUUCCUUGUAAAAGUAAAAAGUAUUCCUAUAUAUAUGCAAAUAAAGUGUGUCUUUGUUGAUUAAAUACAAAUAAAGAUACCAUUAUAAAACAUAUUAUAGCAAGAAUUAUGAUAGGCUAGAGGAAGAUGCAUGUUGAAGAAAUUAAUGAACUAAAAAAUAAAGAACUGAACU
Molecule: long non-coding RNA, 1338 nt
Filed under: Sus scrofa (pig)
Lineage: Eukaryota; Metazoa; Chordata; Mammalia; Artiodactyla; Suidae
Description: lncRNA (ENSSSCG00045015654.1)
Source: RNAcentral